This 301-nucleotide ribosomal RNA is filed under the name uncultured bacterium. RNAcentral describes it as "partial 16S ribosomal RNA". It matches the Rfam family "Bacterial small subunit ribosomal RNA", at positions 509 to 807 of the family's 1533-position model. The record is from RNAcentral.
CAGUAGCCGCGGGAAUACGAACCGUGCGAACGUUAUUCGGAAUUACUGGGCUUAAAGCGCGUGUAGGCGGGCCGGCACGUCCGACGCUGAAAUCCCCCGGCUCAACCGGGGAAGUGGCGGGGAUACGACCGGCCUCGAGGGGGGUAGGGGGACCUGGAACUUCCGGUGGAGCGGUGAAAUGCGUUGAGAUCGGAAGGAACGCCCGUGGCGAAAGCGAGGUCCUGGACCCUUUCUGACGCUGAGACGCGAAAGCCAGGGGAGCGAACGGGAUUAGAUACCCCAGUAGUCCCUGUCUCUUAUA